UGUAGCUGUAGCUCAGUANUAGUCGAACGGAAAGGCCCCUUUGGGGUGCUCGAGUGGCGAACGGGUGAGUAACACGUGAGUAACCUGCCCUUGGCUUUGGGAUAACCUUCGGAAACGGGGGCUAAUACCGGAUAUUUCCUGUGCAUCGCAUGGUGUGUGGGGGAAGGUUUUUUCGGCCAGGGAUGGGCUCGCGGCCUAUCAGCUUGUUGGUGGGGUGAUGGCUUACCAAGGCUUUGACGGGUAGCCGGCCUGAGAGGGCGACCGGCCACACUGGGACUGAGACACGGCCCAGACUCCUACGGGAGGCAGCAGUGGGAAUAUUGCACAAUGGACGCAAGUCUGAUGCAGCGACGCCGCGUGAGGGAUGACGGCCUCCGGGUUGUAAACCUCUUUCGCCAAGGACGAAGCGAAAGUGACGGUACUUGGAGAAGAAGCGCCGGCCAACUACGUGCCAGCAGCCGCGGUAAGACGUAGGGCGCGAGCGUUGUCCGGAUUUAUUGGGCGUAAAGAGCUCGUAGGCGGCUUGUUGCGUCGUCCGUGAAAACCUGGGGCUCAACUUCAGGUCUGCGGACGAUACGGGCAGGCUGGAGUUCGGUAGGGGAGACUGGAAUUCCUGGUGUAGCGGUGAAAUGCGCAGAUAUCAGGAGGAACACCGGUGGCGAAGGCGGGUCUCUGGGCCGAUACUGACGCUGAGGAGCGAAAGCGUGGGGAGCGAACAGGAUUAGAUACCCUGGUAGUCCACGCUGUAAACGUUGGGCGCUAGGUGUGGGGGGCCUCUCCGGUUUCCUGCGCCGUAGCUAACGCAUUAAGCGCCCCGCCUGGGGAGUACGGCCGCAAGGCU
This 841-nucleotide ribosomal RNA is filed under the name uncultured Actinomycetes bacterium. RNAcentral's name for it is "bacterial SSU rRNA". It matches the Rfam family "Bacterial small subunit ribosomal RNA", at positions 43 to 895 of the family's 1533-position model. Lineage: Bacteria; Bacillati; Actinomycetota; Actinomycetes. The record is from RNAcentral.